Molecule: ribosomal RNA, 483 nt
Filed under: uncultured bacterium
Lineage: Bacteria
Description: partial 16S ribosomal RNA
Rfam family: Bacterial small subunit ribosomal RNA
Source: RNAcentral
GACGAACGCUGGCGGCGUGCUUAACACAUGCAAGUCCAACGCUGAAGCUCAGCUUUUGUUGGGUGGAUGAGUGGCGAACGGGUGAGUAACACGUGAGUAACCUGCCCCCUUCUUUGGGAUAACGCCCGGAAACGGGUGCUAAUACUGGAUAUUCACUGGUCUUCGCAUGGGGGUUGGUGGAAAGGGUUUUUCUGGUGGGGGAUGGGCUCGCGGCCUAUCAGCUUGUUGGUGGGGUGAUGGCCUACCAAGGCUUUGACGGGUAGCCGGCCUGAGAGGGUGACCGGUCACAUUGGGACUGAGAUACGGCCCAGACUCCUACGGGAGGCAGCAGUGGGGAAUAUUGCACAAUGGGCGCAAGCCUGAUGCAGCGACGCCGCGUGAGGGAUGGAGGCCUUCGGGUUGUGAACCUCUUUCGCUCAUGGUCAAGCCGCAACAAUGGUUGUGGUGAGGGUAGUGGGUAAAGAAGCGCCGGCUAACUACGUG